This 404-nucleotide ribosomal RNA is filed under the name uncultured Proteiniclasticum sp. RNAcentral describes it as "bacterial SSU rRNA". It matches the Rfam family "Bacterial small subunit ribosomal RNA", at positions 378 to 774 of the family's 1533-position model. Lineage: Bacteria; Bacillati; Bacillota; Clostridia; Eubacteriales; Clostridiaceae. The record is from RNAcentral.
AAAGUCUGAUGGAGCAACGCCGCGUGAGUGAUGAAGGUUUUCGGAUCGUAAAACUCUGUUGUAAGGGAAGAACCAGUACGUCAGGCAAUGGACGUACCUUGACGGUACCUUAUUAGAAAGCCACGGCUAACUACGUGCCAGCAGCCGCGGUAAUACGUAGGUGGCGAGCGUUGUCCGGAAUUACUGGGCGUAAAGGAUGCGUAGGUGGAUACUUAAGUGGGAUGUGAAAUCCCCGGGCUCAACCCGGGAACUGCAUUCCAAACUGGGUAUCUAGAGUGCAGGAGAGGAAAGCGGAAUUCCUAGUGUAGCGGUGAAAUGCGUAGAUAUUAGGAGGAACACCAGUGGCGAAGGCGGCUUUCUGGACUGUAACUGACACUGAGGCAUGAAAGCGUGGGUAGCAAACA